CUAUUUUGUUAUGUACACGCAGAGCGUCCGAACCACAGCACGGAAAGAGGUGAAAAUUUGUAUAGUUGUAGGAGAGUAGGAGAUCUAUUUUGCAAAAUCUCAAUCGAUAUAGCAAUUAAACAAUAAUGCAUCAAAAGCAUUAAUCAGACAAAAAUUAGGUUUAAAAAUAAAAAUGCAGCCAACCAAAAACUUAGAGGACCUUUAACUAAGGACAUAGGUCAAAAAGGAAAUGAGAUUGUAAAAAAGUUCAUGCGAAUGGAAAAGAACUACCCACAACAUACUAAGUAAAUGGAGCAGGCAGCAGCAUAACCAAAAAUAUAUAUCCACAACAUAAUUGGUAUUUAGUGUGGUGGAGUGCUACUUCAUAACUGAUCUUUACCGAAAAUUCAAAUUUUUACGCACCUAAAGGAAGCACACCGAAGACGACCCUGAAUCCGAUAGUGAUGAUGAUGACAAUAUAACUAUGUGUAAGCUAAAAAGUCUGCUUGAUGCUCAAUAUUCUUAACUUGCUGCCUCGUUCGACAGCAAAUUUAAUAGUUUUAAGUCGUUCAUCAGGAAGAAUGUCUCGAACCUAACCAAGAAGCACAAGCAUACGGAUGACAAAUGUACUGAGCUUGAAAGCAGACUGAGAACUAUUGAAGGUAAGCUCAAAAACUUCUCUAAUGUUCCUGCUCCAGCGGAAGAUGUCUUCGCUGAAUUCGCUGAACGUAAGAGAUGUGAAUCGAACGUCGUCUUGUUAAAUGUCACUGAAUCAACGAAAGCAGACGGUAAAGACCGUCUUGAAGAGGACGGAGCUAAUAUCCUCUCAGUUCUGCCUCCGGACUUGACUGGUGUCGUGGACCAGUUUAAGAUUCGUCGUUUGGGCCGCCCAUCGCUCGGGCGCUUUCGUCCACUUCUUGUUGAAACUCCAUCUCCAUGCCAUAGCGCAUGCAAAACUCAAAUCUAAAAAGCUGGAACCCGCUGCUGGAUCUAAUAAAGUGAUCUUUAAAUCUGAUCUCACUCCAUCUCAGCUAAAUCACCUCAAGAACCUCCGGGCGCAGUUAGAUACCUUAGCGAAGAAUGGUGAUACAUC
Molecule: long non-coding RNA, 1072 nt
Organism: Bactrocera latifrons
Lineage: Eukaryota; Metazoa; Arthropoda; Insecta; Diptera; Tephritidae
Exons: 2
Source: RefSeq, a predicted model, not a curated record